This 506-nucleotide ribosomal RNA is filed under the name uncultured bacterium. RNAcentral describes it as "partial 16S ribosomal RNA". It matches the Rfam family "Bacterial small subunit ribosomal RNA", at positions 29 to 523 of the family's 1533-position model. The record is from RNAcentral.
AGUGAACGCUGGCGGUAGGCCUAACGCAUGCAAGUCGAACGGCAGCACAGGAGAGCUUGCUCUCUGGGUGGCGAGUGGCGGACGGGUGAGGAAUACAUCGGAAUCUACUCUGUCGUGGGGGAUAACGUAGGGAAACUUACGCUAAUACCGCAUACGACCUACGGGUGAAAGCAGGGGACCUUCGGGCCUUGCGCGAUUGAAUGAGCCGAUGUCGGAUUAGCUAGUUGGCGGGGUAAAGGCCCACCAAGGCGACGAUCCGUAGCUGGUCUGAGAGGAUGAUCAGCCACACGGGAACUGAGACACGGUCCAGACUCCUACGGGAGGCGGCAGUGGGGAAUAUUGGACAAUGGGCGCAAGCCUGAUCCAGCCAUACCGCGUGGGUGAAGAAGGCCUUCGGGUUGUAAAGCCCUUUUGUUGGGAAAGAGAUCCAGCUGGCUAAUACCCGGUUGGGAUGACGGUACCCAAAGAAUAAGCACCGGCUAACUUCGUGCCAGCCGCCGCAGUAA